GAAACUAACAAGGAUUCCCCUAGUAACGGCGAGUGAAGCGGGAUGAGCUCAAAUUUAAAAUCUGGCGGUCUCAGAUCGUCCGAGUUGUAGUCUAGAGAAGCGUUUUCCGUGCUGGCCUGUGUACAAGUCCGUUGGAACACGGCGUCAUAGAGGGUGAGAAUCCCGUCCUUGACACAGAUCUCCAGUGCUUUGUGAUGCGCUCUCAAAGAGUCGAGUUGUUUGGGAAUGCAGCUCAAAAUGGGUGGUAAAUUCCAUCUAAAGCUAAAUAUUGGCGAGAAACCGAUAGCGAACAAGUACCGUGAGGGAAAGAUGAAAAGCACUUUGGAAAGAGAGUUAAACAGUACGUGAAAUUGUUGAAAGGGAAACGAUUGAAGUCAGUCAUGCUUUCCGAGACUCAGCCGGUUCUGCCGGUGUACUUCUCGGUUUGCAGGCCAGCAUCAGUUUUGGGCGGUGGAAAAGGUUGGCGGGAAUGUGGCAUCCUCGGAUGUGUUAUAGCCCGCUUUCGAAUACAUCGCCCGGGACUGAGGAACGCAGCACGCCUCUUGUAGGUCGGUCUUCGGACACGUCCGUGCUUAGGAUGCU
This 582-nucleotide ribosomal RNA is filed under the name Tausonia pullulans. RNAcentral's name for it is "partial large subunit ribosomal RNA". It matches the Rfam family "Eukaryotic large subunit ribosomal RNA", at positions 61 to 627 of the family's 3401-position model. Lineage: Eukaryota; Fungi; Basidiomycota; Tremellomycetes; Cystofilobasidiales; Mrakiaceae. The record is from RNAcentral.